RNAcentral lists this non-coding RNA (30 nucleotides) under Homo sapiens (human). The record is from RNAcentral. Lineage: Eukaryota; Metazoa; Chordata; Mammalia; Primates; Hominidae.
UGAAUAAGCCCUACUAUUGUUACUGGCGGG